GUUUAUGAACCCAUUGAGAUGACUCAAGAAUUUCGCUAUUUCGAUUUUGCUAGUCUUUGGAACAGCGUAGCGACGGAUAAUUCAGAAUCAGAAUAGGUCCACCAGUUCAAACAUACAAU
Molecule: small RNA, 119 nt
Filed under: Arabidopsis thaliana (thale cress)
Lineage: Eukaryota; Viridiplantae; Streptophyta; Magnoliopsida; Brassicales; Brassicaceae
Description: ATSL158620
Source: RNAcentral